GGGGGUGACUGGUUUCGACUGGGGAUGGUAGUUCCAGAAGAAGCGGGUCGAGAAUCCAAGGUCAACUCGUAAAUGUCCCUUGGGAACCAAUAAGUGCCAACGCAAAGAGCACUGACUUCGCUCUCGCUGCCUGAGCAGUGACCGAAGGGUCAGCCCGGAUGUAGCCUUCCGUCCGGAUCCUGGCCUCAUUUAGAGGGCUUGCUCAUCAGCUCCAGCUUGGAGGGCUGAUGGGGACUUAAACCAGGCUGGGCUUGUCUGCAACAUGCUGACGUGAGUGCAGGAGCCAAGCAGAACGUCUAGUCAGCUGCACCCGGAGAAUGUCUGCAACGCCUCAUCAGGACGCGGGUUCAAUUCCCGCCACCUCCACGA
This 369-nucleotide transfer-messenger RNA is filed under the name Propionimicrobium sp. PCR01-08-3. It matches the Rfam family "transfer-messenger RNA". From Rfam's summary of the family: Bacterial tmRNA, also known as 10Sa RNA or SsrA, is named for its dual tRNA and mRNA-like properties. Its role is to liberate the mRNA from a stalled ribosome. Lineage: Bacteria; Bacillati; Actinomycetota; Actinomycetes; Propionibacteriales; Propionibacteriaceae. The record is from RNAcentral.